GUGCCAGCAGCCGCGGUAAAACGUAGGAGGCGAGCGUUAUCCGGAUUCACUGGGCGUAAAGCGCAUGUAGGUGGCUCGUCAAGUCGCCUGUGAAAGCCCCUGGCUUAACUGGGGGAGGUCAGGCGAAACUGACGGACUUGAGGGCCGGAGAGGAAGGUGGAAUUCCCGGUGUAGCGGUGGAAUGCGUAGAGAUCGGGAGGAACACCAGUGGCGAAAGCGACCUUCUGGGCGGCGCCUGACACUGAGAUGCGAAAGCGUGGGGAGCAAACGGGAUUAGAUACCCUCGUAGUCC
RNAcentral lists this ribosomal RNA (292 nucleotides) under uncultured bacterium. RNAcentral's name for it is "partial 16S ribosomal RNA". It matches the Rfam family "Bacterial small subunit ribosomal RNA", at positions 505 to 796 of the family's 1533-position model. The record is from RNAcentral.